Molecule: non-coding RNA, 92 nt
Filed under: Alexandrium minutum
Lineage: Eukaryota; Dinophyceae; Gonyaulacales; Pyrocystaceae
Source: RNAcentral
UUUUUUUUUUUUUUUUUUUUUUUUCUCGGCACUGACUUCAAACCCUCCACCUGACCUAAUCGGCGUCAUGUCGCAGCAUGAACGAAAAUCUG